This 374-nucleotide ribosomal RNA is filed under the name Platyxantha sp. BMNH 846582. Its description in RNAcentral is "partial 28S ribosomal RNA". The record is from RNAcentral. Lineage: Eukaryota; Metazoa; Arthropoda; Insecta; Coleoptera; Chrysomelidae.
GGUCGAAAGAGGAAAUUCAUUCGCGUUUCGGCCGUCGAAGUUGAACGUUUGUUUGACGAGCAAAGUUUCGGCUUCGCUUGCAUCUUACGUUCUUCGAGUCGCGGACGAACGCGUGCACUUUUCCUCUAGUAGGACGUCGCGAUCCGUUGGGUGUCUGUCUAAGACUUGGGGCGGAGCCCGUGCGCGUUUCGCGCGCGCGCGGACCCUCGAUGUUCCGACAGACUCGCUCGACGGUACGCUAAUGGCGCGGGGCCGCUCAUUCAGUUAGCGUUUGGCCCGCAGCAAGCACGUUCUGUGUUUUUGACAGCGAUCGGACCUGGUGCCGAUUCUGUUCCGGAACGACUGUUGGUUGCGGUGUUCUCAAACAGACCUCG